Thermocrinis minervae is the source of this 72-nucleotide transfer RNA. It matches the Rfam family "tRNA". From Rfam's summary of the family: Transfer RNA (tRNA) molecules are approximately 80 nucleotides in length. The record is from Rfam. Lineage: Bacteria; Pseudomonadati; Aquificota; Aquificia; Aquificales; Aquificaceae.
GCGGGCGUAGCUCAGUGGUAGAGCAGCUGCCUUCCAAGCAGCAGGUCGCGGGUUCGAGUCCCGUCGCCCGCU